RNAcentral lists this ribosomal RNA (403 nucleotides) under uncultured bacterium. RNAcentral's name for it is "partial 16S ribosomal RNA". It matches the Rfam family "Bacterial small subunit ribosomal RNA", at positions 30 to 526 of the family's 1533-position model. The record is from RNAcentral.
AUUGAACGCUGGCGGCAGGCCUAACACAUGCAAGUCGAGCGAGCGACGGACGGUUGCGUAAUGUAUGGGGACUGCCCGAUAGAGGGGGAUAACUGCUGGAAACGGUAGCUAAUACCGCAUACUAUCGGAUAACCCAUAUGGGAUUAGCUAGUAGGUGAGGUAAUGGCGCACCUAGGCGACGAGCCCUAGCUGGUCUGAGAGGAGGAUCAGCCACACGGGGACUGAGACACGGCCCAGACUCCUACGGAGGCAGCAGUGGGGAAUAUUGGACAAUGGGCGCAAGCCUGAUGCAGCCAUGCCGCGUGUAUGAAGAAGGCCUUAGGGUUGUAAAGUACUGUCAGUCGGGAGGCGUUACCGACAGAAGAAGCACCGGCUAACUCCGUGCCAGCAGCCGCGGUAAUUC